This 439-nucleotide ribosomal RNA is filed under the name uncultured Alteromonadaceae bacterium. RNAcentral describes it as "bacterial SSU rRNA". It matches the Rfam family "Bacterial small subunit ribosomal RNA", at positions 1092 to 1532 of the family's 1533-position model. The record is from RNAcentral. Lineage: Bacteria; Pseudomonadati; Pseudomonadota; Gammaproteobacteria; Alteromonadales; Alteromonadaceae.
ACGAGCGCACCCCUUUCCUUAGUUGCCAGCAUUCUGUUGGGCACUCUGAGGAGACUGCCGGUGACAAACCGGAGGAAGGUGGGGACGACGAUCAAGUCAUCAUGGCCCUUACGUGUAGGGCUACACACGUGCUACAAUGGGAUUUACAGAGGGAAGCGAGACAGUGAUGUGGAGCGGACCCCUUAAAGAAUGUCGUACUCCGGAUUGGAGUCUGCAACUCGACUCCAUGAAGUCGGAAUCGCUAGUAAUCGCAAGUCAGAAUAUUGCGGUGAAUACGUUCCCGGGCCUUGUACACACCGCCCGUCACACCAUGGGAGUGGGAUGCAAAAGAAGUAGUUAGUUUAACCUUCGGGAGAACGAUUACCACUUUGUGUUUCAUGACUGGGGUGAAGUCGUAACAAGGUAACCCUAGGGGAACCUGGGGUUGGAUCACCUCCUU